CUCAAUCUAGUUAUUCACAUCAAUUUUAAGCAUUAGACUGACACCAGUUUCCCAUAACGGUGACUUGUAGAUGCUAAUGUUGUUAAAGAGUAUGUAAAUAAUGAUCACAUGAUUUUAAAUCUAUUGAUCUAAAUAGUUUAUUGUAGCUUAGCUGGUCUUUGGACUUAACUUCCCGUAACCUGCAUCUGAGCAGAAGGUAGAGAAGCUGAAGAUCUGAGAACACUACGCUUUUUCUUUGUAAGAAAAAAGGCUUGGAGAGCGCCUCCCCUGUACAUUAACAACUUAUUUCGACGUGUCCACAUCUCAUCCUUCGAAUUAACGAGUCAUGUGCUCAACUUAGAUGGUCUUGAAACUCGAGCACUCCCUGUAAGGUGAACCAGAGCAGGAAACUAGAUAAGAUCAACCUGAAGACAACUUUGCUGGUCUUUGGACUUAACUUCCAGUAACCUGAAUCGGAGCAGAAGGUAGAGAAUCUGAAGAUCUGAGAACACUACGCCUUUUGUAAGGUAGUACUUAAACUGGGCAGGAUUCAUGGUGUCAGUAUAAUGAGGUCAUUAAUAGUGAGGGUACUAAAACUGGUAAUUUAUAAGCAGUGAUUGAUGUGAUCACUUCGGUUUUUGAACUGUGAAUGAAUACGAGGUAGCAAAUUCUACUUUUAUUUCGUUAUGGUUUUGUUUUCUGUUCAUUUAUUAUUCUUUCUAUUGUUUAUUUUACCUGUAACAUUUGUUUUACGUUUAAACGCUACUUCUCAUUCUAAUCAAUUACGUCAUCUUAAAGUUUCUAAAAGUUAUGAGACUGAC
Long non-coding RNA from Limulus polyphemus (Atlantic horseshoe crab), 800 nucleotides. RefSeq lists it as uncharacterized. NCBI's taxonomy places the organism in Eukaryota, Metazoa, Arthropoda, Merostomata, Xiphosura, Limulidae. The record is from RefSeq and is a predicted model, not a curated record. The transcript is spliced from 3 exons.